UUAAUUCCUUAGGUGGGCCGGGACGGGUGUACGUAACGCGGUACGGUAACGUCGUCCUUACCACGUGGGGAGUAACACUUAGAAAUAGGUGCUAAUACCGCAUAAGCGCACGAAGCCGCAUGGAUUUUGUGUGAAAAACUCCGGUGGUGUAAGAUGGACCCGCGUCUGAUUAGCUUGUUGGCGGGUAACGCCCACCAAGGCGACGAUCAGUAGCCGGCCUGAGAGGGUGGACGGCCACAUUGGGACUGAGACACGGCCCAAACUCCUACGGAAGGCAGCAG
RNAcentral lists this ribosomal RNA (281 nucleotides) under uncultured bacterium. RNAcentral's name for it is "partial 16S ribosomal RNA". It matches the Rfam family "Bacterial small subunit ribosomal RNA", at positions 79 to 354 of the family's 1533-position model. The record is from RNAcentral.